AUUGAACGCUGGCGGCAUGCUUUACACAUGCAAGUCGAACGGUAACAGGUUAAGCUGACGAGUGGCGAACGGGUGAGUAAUGCAUCGGAACGUGCCCGGUCGUGGGGGAUAACGCAGCGAAAGCUGCGCUAAUACCGCAUACGAUCCGAGGAUGAAAGCGGGGGAACGUAAGGCCUCGCGCGCUCGGAGCGGCCGAUGUCAGAUUAGGUAGUUGGUGGGGUAAAGGCUCACCAAGCCGACGAUCUGUAGCUGGUCAGAGAGGACGACCAGCCACACUGGGACUGAGACACGGCCCAGCCUCCUACGGGAGGCAGCAGUGGGGAAUUUUGGACAAUGGGCGCAAGCCUGAUCCAGCAAUGCCGCGUGCAGGAAGAAGGCCUUCGGGUUGUAAACUGCUUUUGUACGGAGCGAAAAGGCUCUCUCUAAUACGGAGGGCUCAUGACGGUACCGUAAGAAUAAGCACCGGCUAACUACGUGCCAGCAGCCGCCGUAA
Molecule: ribosomal RNA, 493 nt
Filed under: uncultured bacterium
Lineage: Bacteria
Description: partial 16S ribosomal RNA
Rfam family: Bacterial small subunit ribosomal RNA
Source: RNAcentral